Molecule: unclassified non-coding RNA, 357 nt
Filed under: soil metagenome
Description: partial contains 5.8S ribosomal RNA, internal transcribed spacer 2, and large subunit ribosomal RNA
Rfam family: 5.8S ribosomal RNA (bases 1-120)
Source: RNAcentral
GAUGAAGAACGUAGUGAAAUGCGAUAAGUAAUGUGAAUUGCAGAAUUCAGUGAAUCAUCGAAUCUUUGAACGCACAUUGCGCCCGUCAGUAUUCUGGCGGGCAUGCCUGUUCGAGCGUCAUUACGCCCCUCAAGUCCCCUGUGACUUGGUGUUGGGGAUCGGCGAGGCUGGUUUUCCAGCACAGCCGUCCCUUAAAUUAAUUGGCGGUCUCGCCGUGGCCCUCCUCUGCGCAGUAGUAAAACACUCGCAACAGGAGCCCGGCGCGGUCCACUGCCGUAAAACCCCCCAACUUUUUAUAGUUGACCUCGAAUCAGGUAGGACUACCCGCUGAACUUAAGCAUAUCAAUAAGCGGAGGA